This is a long non-coding RNA of Equus caballus (horse), 606 nucleotides long. RefSeq lists it as uncharacterized. The record is from RefSeq and is a predicted model, not a curated record. Lineage: Eukaryota; Metazoa; Chordata; Mammalia; Perissodactyla; Equidae.
CUAGAAUUCACUAGCACCUCAUUCCCUUUUUAAUUGCUGACUAAUACCCUGCCGGGGUCCAGCCUCAGCAGAGUCCAGGUUCUCGCGGGAGAGACGGCAUCGGCGAAAGUAGUAAGACCAGCGAUGAAGAUUAACAUUAUUGGCUUUCCAAACUGUCUCAAAUACUUUAUUAGAUUCUUCAUAUUAUCUGGAACUAAAUACCACAAAAAAAGACAAACAGGAAACCUGGGAAGAGUCCAUAAUGUAUUCUAAGAUAUUUUCUGAAAUGGCAUUUGAAGUUCGUCUUGCUGUUUUUGUCAUCCAGUCAAUCAAUAAGUUGUUACGGAGCUCCUCUCAUGAUGAUUUAUAUGGACAAUCUAUAAUUAACACCUGCUUCUGCAGUUUCCUCUGUCACCAGAUGCAUUUCACAUUCCCAUGAGGCAAACUACGCAUUACUUAUUCAAAUACAUUUAUAAAGUGUGUGUGUGCUAAAUGCAGUGAACUAUAAUGGUUAACAAAAAACCUCUGGCCUCAAGGAUCCUAUGAUUUUAUUAGUGGGUUUUUUUGACAAAUUUUACUCAAUAGAUUUUGUUUCGACGUUGUUUAAUGGUGCUUCUCAAAAAUACC